GUGGGGAAUCUUGCGCAAUGGGCGAAAGCCUGACGCAGCCAUGCCGCGUGAAUGAUGAAGGUCUUAGGAUUGUAAAAUUCUUUCACCGGGGACGAUAAUGACGGUACCCGGAGAAGAAGCCCCGGCUAACUUCGUGCCAGCAGCCGCGGUAAUACGAAGGGGGCUAGCGUUGCUCGGAAUUACUGGGCGUAAAGGGCGCGUAGGCGGACAGUUUAGUCAGAGGUGAAAGCCCAGGGCUCAACCUUGGAAUUGCCUUUGAUACUGGCUGUCUUGAGUACGGGAGCGGGGAGUGGAACUCCGAGUGUAGAGGUGAAAUUCGUAGAUAUUCGGAAGAACACCAGUGGCGAAGGCGACUCACUGGCCCGUUACUGACGCUGAGGCGCGAAAGCGUGGGGAGCAAACAGGAUUAGAAACCCUGGUAGUCC
RNAcentral lists this ribosomal RNA (425 nucleotides) under uncultured bacterium. RNAcentral's name for it is "partial 16S ribosomal RNA". It matches the Rfam family "Bacterial small subunit ribosomal RNA", at positions 354 to 796 of the family's 1533-position model. The record is from RNAcentral.